This 378-nucleotide ribosomal RNA is filed under the name uncultured bacterium. RNAcentral describes it as "bacterial SSU rRNA". It matches the Rfam family "Bacterial small subunit ribosomal RNA", at positions 28 to 407 of the family's 1533-position model. The record is from RNAcentral.
GACGAACGCUGGCGGCGUGCUUAACACAUGCAAGUCGAGCGGUAAGGCCCUUUCGGGGGUACACGAGCGGCGAACGGGUGAGUAACACGUGGGUGACCUGCCCUUAGCUCUGGGAUAAGCCUGGGAAACUGGGUCUAAUACCGGAUAUGACUCCAUGACGCAUGUUGUGGGGUGGAAAGCCUUGUGCGGCUAGGGAUGGGCCCGCGGCCUAUCAGCUUGUUGGUGGGGUGAUGGCCUACCAAGGCGACGACGGGUAGCCGGCCUGAGAGGGCGACCGGCCACACUGGGACUGAGACACGGCCCAGACUCCUACGGGAGGCAGCAGUGGGGAAUCUUGCGCAAUGGGCGAAAGCCUGACGCAGCGAUGCCGCGUGGGGA